Molecule: non-coding RNA, 204 nt
Organism: Pelobates cultripes (western spadefoot toad)
Lineage: Eukaryota; Metazoa; Chordata; Amphibia; Anura; Pelobatidae
Source: the annotation of a GenBank genome assembly
CUCAGAGGUUUCAGUAAUAAAAUGUAAGGAUUCUGGACACCUGGGUUAUCAAAUAGUAGGUAGGUAGGUGAAAUCACUGAUGGGAUUCAGGCUGGAUGUCAAAAUGAUUUAUAUAGCUGUUCAGCUAAUUUAUAAAGUACUCUUAAAGUGUUUCAUGCCUACUUACUCCCAAAAUACGCAGACUGUGUAGAAAAGUAAAAAAAG